UUGUCGUUUGUUUAUGUGUUACAUAUUUGUUUUUCGUUCAUUUUUUUUACAUAAAUAAGGCCGUUAGUUUUCUCGUUUGAAUUGUUUUACAUUGUCUUAUCGGGGCCUUUUAUAGCUGACUAUGCGGUAUGGGCUUUGCUCAUUGUUGAAGGCCGUACGGUGACUUAUAGUUGUUAAUGUCUGUGUCAUUUUCGUCUUUUGUGGAUAGCUG
This 211-nucleotide long non-coding RNA is filed under the name Mytilus galloprovincialis (Mediterranean mussel). The record is from RNAcentral. Lineage: Eukaryota; Metazoa; Mollusca; Bivalvia; Mytilida; Mytilidae.